AAGAACAGAGGCAAGCCUCCAGCCAGGAGCUCAUGAAAUCGUGAACUGAGGCCUCAGUGUAAUAGCCCAUGAGGAACUGAAUUAUUUCAACAGCCAGUUGCGCUUCAAGCCAUACUUAAGACUGAUGAAUCCUCCUUUAUAAACACAGAUGUAGUAAACACUCACUGAGAAAAUGAGGUUGAUUCUGGAAGAUGGAAGUAUAAGAUCAGAUAGCCAGCAUCAUCAGGUACUCAUGAGGGCCGUCUUCCAGCUUGCAGACUGCCAACUUCUCAUUGUGUCC
RNAcentral lists this non-coding RNA (280 nucleotides) under Pongo abelii (Sumatran orangutan). The record is from RNAcentral. Lineage: Eukaryota; Metazoa; Chordata; Mammalia; Primates; Hominidae.